CCUACGGGAGGCAGCAGUGGGGAAUUUUGGACAAUGGGGGAAACCCUGAUCCAGCCAUGCCGCGUGAGUGAAGAAGGCCUUCGGGUUGUAAAGCUCUUUCGGCUGGGAAGAAAUCGCACAGGCUAAUACUCUGUGUGGAUGACGGUACCAGCACAAGAAGCACCGGCUAACUACGUGCCAGCAGCCGCGGUAAUACGUAGGGUGCGAGCGUUAAUCGGAAUUACUGGGCGUAAAGCGUGCGCAGGCGGUUGUGCAAGACAGAUGUGAAAUCCCCGGGCUCAACCUGGGAACUGCAUUUGUGACUGCACGACUAGAGUACGGCAGAGGGGGGUAGAAUUCCACGUGUAGCAGUGAAAUGCGUAGAGAUGUGGAGGAAUACCGAUGGCGAAGGCAGCCCCCUGGGUCGAUACUGACGCUCAUGCACGAAAGCGUGGGGAGCAAACAGGAUUAGAUACCCUGGUAGUCCACGCCCUAAACGAUGUCAACUAGGUGUUGGGUGGGUAAAACCAUUUAGUACCGUAGCUAACGCGUGAAGUUGACCGCCUGGGGAGUACGGUCGCAAGAUUAAAACUCAAAGGAAUUGACGG
This 587-nucleotide ribosomal RNA is filed under the name uncultured beta proteobacterium. Its description in RNAcentral is "bacterial SSU rRNA". It matches the Rfam family "Bacterial small subunit ribosomal RNA", at positions 338 to 916 of the family's 1533-position model. The record is from RNAcentral. Lineage: Bacteria; Pseudomonadati; Pseudomonadota; Betaproteobacteria.